UGGAGCGUAGCCUAGCAGCGAGGUACUCGGCUUGGGACCGAGAUCACGCGGGUGCGAGUCCCGCCGCUCCGACCA
This 75-nucleotide transfer RNA is filed under the name Verrucomicrobiota bacterium. RNAcentral describes it as "Verrucomicrobia bacterium (groundwater metagenome) tRNA-Pro". It matches the Rfam family "tRNA". Rfam says of the family: Transfer RNA (tRNA) molecules are approximately 80 nucleotides in length. Lineage: Bacteria; Pseudomonadati; Verrucomicrobiota. The record is from RNAcentral.